Molecule: long non-coding RNA, 2143 nt
Organism: Oncorhynchus tshawytscha (Chinook salmon)
Lineage: Eukaryota; Metazoa; Chordata; Actinopteri; Salmoniformes; Salmonidae
Source: Ensembl
GGAGAGGAGAGGGUGGCUGAUGGUCUCUUCAUGAGGGGAGGAGAGGGUGGCUGAUGGUCUCUUUAUGUGGGGAGAGGAGAGGGUGGCUGAUGGUCUCUUUAUGAGGGGAGAGGAGAGGAGAGGGUGGCUGAUGGUCUCUUUAUGUGGGGAGAGGAGAGGGUGGCUGAUGGUCUCUUUCUGUGGGGAGGGGAGAGGGUGGCUGAUGGUCUCCAUGAGAGGAGAGGGUGUCUGGAACUAAGAGAAUGUUGCUCAGUAGUCAUUCUCAUAUUCCUGUUCCUGUCCUCCUUGAGUUAGAACCAGAACAGAGGAGACAGACAGAGACACAGAGAAACACCUUACGUCAGUACAGAUACCAGACCACAUAACACCAACGUGGACCCACUAGUGGUUGUGCUAGUCAGUAUCUCUGACUCAGACUGCUGUGUUAUGGCAGCUGCUCAUCAGAGCUCUGAAAGCAGACAGGCACAAACAUAGUGCUGUCAUCUUUAUUUCUCUUUCUUAAUGUAAGAAAAUGUGAUAAAGAUGUACAACAGUGAAAUGAGAGUCACACAGGAUACAUGGUUGUACAUCCAGUGUACUUACAGUAACUCAGACAGCGAAUGGGUCCGGGUCAGACAUGUACAAGUUACAGUGUAGUAACUCAGACAGCGAAUGGGUCCGGGUCAGACAUGUACAAGUUACAGUGUAGUAACUCAGACAUGCACAAGUUGUGGUGAAACAUUCUAGGUCAAAGUGCACCACACAUCGCUGUGAGAGGCACUCCCAUCUUAAAGUGAUUCAACCACAUGUGUAACCACAUCUGUGGGAAUGAACCAAUUGUUCAAUGUCAAAUAAUACCCUGCCUGAAUUCAAUCCAAACAGCUAUAGCAUAAUGGUCUUCGUGUUAAUAUCCUUUUAGGUUAGCAGUAAAGUAAUAACCAGUCAAAAGAAAGCAGGCCCACUAAGGGGGCUCUCAAGUGGUCUAAGGCACUGCAUCUCAGUGCAAGAGGCGUCACUACAGUCCCUGGUUCGAAUCCAGGCUGUGUCACAUCUGGGUGUGAUUUAGGAGUCCCAUAGGGCGGGUUUGGCAAAGGGGUAGGCCGUCAUUUAUAAAUAAGAAUUUGUUCUGAACUGACUUGCCUAGUUAAAUAAAAUAAACUAAGGACACGGUCACUCAUAUUAAACAUUCAUAGUGUGUAUAAAACGCGUCACGAGAACAUACGGCAUAACAUUUCAAUAGCUCUAAAAUACUUUACGAAAUUUAUAGGGACAAUUACAAUGUCAAUCUCUGUACGAUUUACCAGUCGCCAGUUAGUUAGUCACUGAGGACAAUACUUUCACUUUUACUAGUUGUAAAGUCAGGGGCGGAGCCAGACACUGGAGUUGUUUUAUGUCCUGAAAUGAUCUGCAAUAAACAUCGUCAAGCGUCUUUCAUUUCAUCUAAUGAAAAUAACACUAACUAACCACUGGGUCCCUUCAAAAUACUGAGUCAAAACAUCAGCUGACUGGAAGGACAGGACUCUCCUGCAACGGACCGUGAAGAGAAGGCUUUAGAUCUGACACACACAGCACUUACUGUUACUCUCUCUUUCUACAUUUCUGUUUUGAUUGAAUUCAGGAAUAAUAUACACUGAGUGUACAAACAUUAAGAACAGCUGCUCUUUCCAUGACACAGACUGACCAUGUGAAUCCAGGUGAAAGAUAUGAUCCCUUACUGAUGUCACUUUGUUAAAUCCACUUCAAAUCAGUGUAGAUGAAGGGGAGGAGACGGGUUAAAUAAGGAUUUUUAAGCCUUGAGACAAUUGAGACGUUUUGUAUAUGUGUGUCCUUCAGAGGGUGAAUGGGAAAGACAUUUAAGUGCCUUUGAACGGGGUAACUUGCCACAACUGUGGGAAACAAUGGAGUUAACAUGGGCCAGCAUCCCUGUGGAACGCUUUCGACACCUUGUAGUGUCCAUGCCCUGACGAAUUGAGGCUGUUCUGAGGGCAAAAUCAAUAUUAGGAAGGUGUUCUUAAUGUUUUGUGCACUCAGUGCAUAACCGUACACAGUAUCCAUCAGAUUUACUGUGGUAUAAAACCCAGUUCCUCCUAGUAAUCUCAGUCCUACAGUAUCCAGAACUUAUAGAUAGGGAUAUCUAUGUGUUCUGAUGGCGGUUACCUCCAAC